This 596-nucleotide ribosomal RNA is filed under the name uncultured bacterium. Its description in RNAcentral is "bacterial SSU rRNA". It matches the Rfam family "Bacterial small subunit ribosomal RNA", at positions 60 to 652 of the family's 1533-position model. The record is from RNAcentral.
AGUCGACGGCAGCGCGGACUUCGGUCUGGCGGCGAGUGGCGAACGGGUGAGUAAUAUAUCGGAACGUACCCAAGAGUGGGGGAUAACGUAGCGAAAGUUACGCUAAUACCGCAUACGAUCUAAGGAUGAAAGUGGGGGAUCGCAAGACCUCAUGCUCCUGGAGCGGCCGAUAUCUGAUUAGCUAGUUGGUGAGGUAAAGGCUCACCAAGGCCACGAUCAGUAGCUGGUCUGAGAGGACGACCAGCCACACUGGAACUGAGACACGGUCCAGACUCCUACGGGAGGCAGCAGUGGGGAAUUUUGGACAAUGGGCGCAAGCCUGAUCCAGCAAUGCCGCGUGAGUGAAGAAGGCCUUCGGGUUGUAAAGCUCUUUUGUCAGGGAAGAAACGGUAGGAGCUAAUAUCUCUUGCUAAUGACGGUACCUGAAGAAUAAGCACCGGCUAACUACGUGCCAGCAGCCGCGGUAAUACGUAGGGUGCAAGCGUUAAUCGGAAUUACUGGGCGUAAAGCGUGCGCAGGCGGUUUUGUAAGUCUGUCGUGAAAGCCCCGGGCUCAACCUGGGAAUUGCGAUGGAGACUGCAAGGCUUGAAUCUGGC